Molecule: ribosomal RNA, 208 nt
Filed under: uncultured bacterium
Lineage: Bacteria
Description: partial 16S ribosomal RNA
Rfam family: Bacterial small subunit ribosomal RNA
Source: RNAcentral
AGCGUAGGCGGACAUUUAAGUCAGGGGUGAAAUCCCGGGGCUCAACCCUCAGAAUUGCCUUUGAUACUGGGUGUCUUGAGUAUGAGAGAGGUGUGUGGAACUCCGAGUGUAGAGGUGAAAUUCGUAGAUAUUCGGAAGAACACCAGUGGCGAAGGCGACACACUGGCUCAUUACUGACGCUGAGGCUCGAAAGCGUGGGGAGCAAACA